UUACGGGGUGCAGCAGGCGCGAAACCUCUGCAAUAGGCGAAAGCUUGACAGGGUUACUCUGAGUGAUUUCCGUUAAGGAGAUCUUUUGGCACCUCUAAAAAUGGUGCAGAAUAAGGGGUGGGCAAGUCUGGUGUCAGCCGCCGCGGUAAUACCAGCACCCCGAGUGGUCGGGACGUUUAUUGGGCCUAAAGCAUCCGUAGCCGGUUCUACAAGUCUUCCGUUAAAUCCACCUGCUUAACAGAUGGGCUGCGGAAGAUACUAUAGAGCUAGGAGGCGGGAGAGGCAAGCGGUACUCGAUGGGUAGGGGUAAAAUCCGUUGAUCCACUGAAGACCACCAGUGGCGAAGGCGGCUUGCCAGAACGCGCUCGACGGUGAGGGAUGAAAGCUGGGGGAGCAAACCGGAUUAGAUACCCGGGUAGUCCCAGCUGUAAACGAUGCAGACUCGGUGAUGGGCCGGCUUUAUGCCAGCUCAGUGCCGCAGGGAAGCCGUUAAGUCUGCCGCCUGGGGAGUACGGUCGCAAGACUGAAACUUAAAGGAAUUGGCGGGGGAGCAC
This 554-nucleotide ribosomal RNA is filed under the name uncultured crenarchaeote. RNAcentral describes it as "bacterial SSU rRNA". It matches the Rfam family "Archaeal small subunit ribosomal RNA", at positions 323 to 879 of the family's 1478-position model. Lineage: Archaea; Thermoproteati; Thermoproteota. The record is from RNAcentral.